This 672-nucleotide long non-coding RNA is filed under the name Ananas comosus (pineapple). Its description in RNAcentral is "long non-coding RNA (ACOM_LNC020837)". The record is from RNAcentral. Lineage: Eukaryota; Viridiplantae; Streptophyta; Magnoliopsida; Poales; Bromeliaceae.
AAGACUUGGGCAUAAGAUGUUAGAACAAAUAUCGCAUAGGAAUCCGAUUGCAAUUAAAAUCUAACUAACUUUGUGAUAAAAAUAAAAAUAAACAAACAUACAGAUAAACGCAAAUAAAUCAACUCACAGAUAAUCGCUAAAUCCUAAAAUUGUGGAAAAAGAAUAUCAACAUAUUAAUCCGGAAGCGUGCGAGGCACUGCCCUAAGGCGUAUUCCCGUCCUUACGUGCGGGAUUAACCGGAAAUAACACCCCAAGGUACGACCGGAAUUCCUCAUUCUGCGAGCACGAUCGUGAAGGAGGUUGACGAAGAUUCUCAACACCCAGUGGAUAAGGGGAAUGUUCAAAAAUGAAAGAUAAAAGAAUAAAUGGAUAGAGAUUAACCAAUGAUCAAAAAUCUUUUCUGCCUGCUCUAUCUUGAGCAAGAAGAAAAGAAAAAAAAAAAACCUAAAAAGGAAAGAGGAUUUUACGUUUUUUCUCUUACGAGAAAGAAGCGGAACCCGCCCAACGUAACGCGGAAGAAACGAAACGGAAAAAAAAUUCCGUUAGUUUCUUUCUCAUUAAAAAACAUAAUAAAAUAAUUAAAUAAAAUAAAAUAAAUAAAGUAAUAAAUAAAUAAAAUAAUAAAUAAUAAAUAAUUUAAAGUUCAAAUAAAAUAAGUGCAAACUUAAUAUU